RNAcentral lists this long non-coding RNA (1386 nucleotides) under Salmo trutta (river trout). RNAcentral's name for it is "lncRNA (ENSSTUG00000022161.1)". Lineage: Eukaryota; Metazoa; Chordata; Actinopteri; Salmoniformes; Salmonidae. The record is from RNAcentral.
ACAUUUGUAUACGACCAUGUCUCUAUUAUGCGUGGGAAUAAUUGGGAACAGAUUUUCUCAAUUAAAAUCACUUGGAGCUGAUUUCCUGGUGUUUGUACAGUCUUACCUAAAAAAUACCUUCUUUUUUUUCAGAAAAGUUUGUGGGCCAAAUAAAAUUGGGGAACCCUGGCAUACAACAAGUGCUUGAGGUCAUGGCUGCUGCAAGGAAUGAGUAUUCUGUGGAGAGGGCAAACACCAUUUACAACAACACUAUUAAAGUGUUCUUACUGGAAGCUGAUUACAUUUCCUGAAAUACAUUUUCCUUGACCUCAUUUGAAAAUGCCCUUUUCCCCUAGGGAAGAGCAUUUCAUGCUACUCUUCAAAAGUAGUUUAUGUUUACACCAUCUUCCAACAGGUUCCAACUGCUCAUAAUAGCACUUGCUGGUGUCAAUCAGUGAAGUCCUAGAUAAAUGCUUUAUCCCCAACUUUGCAUGGAGAAUUAAGUUAGCAUGGCAUAAGAAAGUUCCUUCAAUUGGAGUCAAACCCAAAAUAUGAUACUCAUAAUUAAAUACACUUUUUUUCCACAAUGAAUUUAAGUCAUCCCUCAAAUCAAUAUGGGGGGAAUUCCGAGCUGGGUUAAGCGGUUGUAAAUUAAAUGUAAUUCCCUUUUUAUGCACUUUUCUCUAUGCGUAUUCUGAGAAUAGCAUGCUAUUCACCCGCUAGUCGUUUGGGGUGGAGAUCGAAUAAAUUAAGGUGUGGCGGAGGUGUGUCUUCAGAUACGGCAUAUUCUAACCUUGACUUAAUUCCCUAAUAAUUCCACCACCUUUAUACACGAGGAAACCAUGAAUAAGGUCUAGUGAACCUACCGGUUCCAAGUGGAAAAAGCAUCUAUACUGAUCAAAAAUAUAAACAAAACAUGUAAAGUGUUGGUCCCGUGUUUCAUGAUUUUAAAUAAAAGUUCCCAGAAAUUUUCAAUUAGCACAAAAAAACAUAUUCCUCCCAAAUGUUGUGCACAAAUUUGUUUACAUCCCUGUUUGUGAGCAUUUCUCAUUUUCCCAGAUAAUCCAUCCACCUGACAGAUAUGGCAUAUGCUUAAACACCAUGAUCAUUACACAGGUGCACCUUGUGCUGGAGAUAAUAAAAGGACACUCAAAUGUGCAGUUUUGUCACACAACACAAUGCCACAGAUGUCUUAAGUUUUGAGGAAGCAUGCAAUUGGCAUGCUUACUGCAGGAAUGUCCACCAGAGCUGUUGCCAGAGAAUGUAAUGUUAAUUUCUCUACCAUAAGCCGCCUCCAAUGUUGUUUUAGAGAAUUUGGCAGUACAUCCAACCGGCCUCACAACCACGUGUAACCACGCCAGCCCAGAACCUCCACAUCUGGGUUCUUCACCUGCGCGAUAGUCUGAG